CGCGUAGGCGGAAUUGCAAGUCACGAGUGAAAUUCCAGGGCUUAACCUUGGAGCUGCUUGUGAAACUGCAAAUCUAGUGGAAAGAUGGAGAAAAUGGAAUUUCCCGUGUAGCGGUGAAAUGCGUAGAUAUGGGAAGGAACAUCGGUGGCGAAAGCGAUUUUCUAAUCUUCGCCAGACGCUGAAGCGCGAAAGCGAGGGGAGCAAACA
This 207-nucleotide ribosomal RNA is filed under the name uncultured bacterium. RNAcentral's name for it is "partial 16S ribosomal RNA". It matches the Rfam family "Bacterial small subunit ribosomal RNA", at positions 568 to 774 of the family's 1533-position model. The record is from RNAcentral.